Long non-coding RNA from Equus caballus (horse), 5839 nucleotides. NCBI's taxonomy places the organism in Eukaryota, Metazoa, Chordata, Mammalia, Perissodactyla, Equidae. The record is from Ensembl.
GAAACUUGUCUGCCAUGCAUGACCUUUGGCGAGCAUUCACACAGGCCAAAAAUGUUUUCUCCUUCUGCGCCUAUUCAUUUGACAUACCUCUUCCCCAGAUUUCUUUGUCCCUAAUCUUCCCAUGUUUUCUUUCCCUGACAGGCAGUCAUUGUCCGUAAAUUAAGAUUGACCCAUACAUCAGGCCAUUUCUCCUCCCAUGCAAAGUGGGCAGCCACAUGUCUACCUGAUGUUCUGCCCACUGGGAAAAUUUCCCUUUGCCUCACUUUCUGGGCCAUCUCUGAGAGAGGCUGAAUGCAGUGACCGUCCCCACUGCUGGAGCCAACACCCCCCCAGGCCCAUCUGUAUACCAAGCUUGUGCCUCCUCAUCUCUCCACUGUUCAUAGGGAAUCCCCACUCGGCCUGAAGUGUAAGUUGAAUGAGAGGUAGCAACGAAUCAGCCUAGGCACCGCGGCAGUCUGAGCCACCUGAUCAUGCAGUCACUUGUGUCUUGCCAAAAUCCAGAAUUGAGAAGGAAACAAGAACAACGGCAGGAGAUGCUCCCUUCCUCUGCUUGAAGUCUCGGCUUAACAUCGCUCUGUGAGAUUAUCAGUGGACCUGAAAAUGGGAAGAGUCCGUCCUUUGAUUUGCCAAAAUGUAUCACCAAGAACUAACACACAAAGCUUAAAGCUUAACAGCAUACGUUUGUAGUCACGUAGACUUGAGUUCAAAUUGUGGCUCUGCCAUCACUGGCUCCUUGACCUUAGAAAAGCCAAUAACCUCUCUGUGGUCUACAAAAUGGGGAUUACCACUCCACCCACCUUAUAGGGCUGUAAUGAAGACGAAACACAAUAACACGUCACAGUGGUUAACGCAGUACCCGACUCAACGCAAACAGCUGGAACCAGAGCAGACUUAAAAGCAGAGUUAAACUCAACACUCCUUGCUAAGGAAACCCGAUCAUGAUUCUCAGCCGAGGCCAUCUCCAGCAUCCUGUCUGGGACCGGGCAGAGGGUUAGCUGAGAGAUGCUGGGAAGUCCGCUUUGGCUGGUGGUUCCAACAACACUUCUAGUCCUGAGACAAAAACCAGGAGAGUACAGUUGUUCCUGAUUGGUGGUAAGAUAACACUCAAAUUGAAAACGAUGAUUCGUCAGCUUUAUGGAGAGAACACAGGCUCACACCUCCCAAUAUGUCUCAGUCUGCAAUUAAUUGUCAAUGUGCCAUUAGAAGCCAGCCUCACAGUUAUUAAACAAAGCAAAGAUGGUGAAAACAAAACAAGUUUAUGAUCUACAACAAAGAAAAAGAGCCAAUAGAAUCGGGGACAAUACUCCAUGUGAAAAAAUAUUGUCCAACUGGAAGAGAGGAAGCAACUGAUUAUUAUGCAAAAAAAAGAGGCAACUACAAAAAAGAAUGGGGAGAGGAGGAAAAGGCACACGGAUUGAAACAAUCGUGGUCAGAAAGAGCAGGAGCUGAUGUCAUACUUGGCACUCGCUGAAGUAAUACUCAUUCCUCUGAGGGAUGGUUGAAUACGUUAAGGAAAAAUAAAAAAUAUACUAUUUGCAACCAUACCAGACUUGAUCAGGAAUGAACUCCAGAGACAUCUAUGCAUGUGGAAGAAGAUAGACACCAACCAGUUUGCGUCACAACCUGGCUGUCACGUCCCACUUACCGAAGAACUUACCACUGACGGUUUGAAAGAAAAUGCAUAUUUGUUUUUAUCAAAUAAACUCAGGAAAAUAGUACUAAAAAAUCUAUGAGUUUCAAAAGAGGUUUGGCUAAGUGCUUACAACGUCCACUGCAGUGUUUGAAGCAGCUGCCCUCCUUAGCAAAGUUGCCUGGGAACUGACCAGCCCAAAGAAGGCCUGGACCACCGUAUUUCAGUCAAAGUGUUCAGGAGCAGAAGCAAGAGAUAGCCAAACUACGCACAUCUCCAGUCUAUAAAUGCGGACUGCUAUAAGUUGAAAUAUCCUAAAUCGUCUUUGCGAGUCUCCUUUUCUUAGCUGUUCAUAAUCGUGGAUUUCCACUCAUGCAUCUCACGUUAUCCCCUUGGAAGGAAUUCACUAAAAUGUUCAUGGUAUAUUCACUACACUUGGGUGCACACCAAGUCAACAUUUAUUAGAUGUUUCUGAAUAUGAUUAUUUCAAUAGAUAUUUUUGGCAUUGUUUUUUAAUUAAAGAAAUUGUUUUUGUAUCCUAUCCUAUUCUAACUGUCCCAGCUUGCCCCUCAAGGAGUGUAAUCUCUUCCUUCUUCAGGUCUUGAUGGCUUCUGUACCUCUCUUAGGAAAUACUCUAUUUUACCUUUAUUAUUGUUUGUGUUUGUAUUUAUUUCAUGCAUUAGGCCGAGAACAAUUUAAGGCAGGAUUUGUCUGUCUCAGCUUUGUAUGAUCUCUAACACUUUGCAAGUGGUAGGAACUCCGGAAAUAUGUUUUGAGAUUAAUUGGAUACAAUUAUUUGGCAUAGACGAUAUGAGUUAUGCUGUCCUAGAUAACUAGUAAAAAAUAUCCAAAAUUGCAUUCAUGAUAUCAUUCACAUCCAUCAAUCAAAAGCCUGCUCAUUGCCCUGCAUUUUUAAUGAUUAAUGCCACCAACAAUCUCCCAGAUACCUCCCUAUCACCUUCAUAUAUUCUUUCCUUCGUUACCCACCUAGUUCUGUUGUUGCCACUUCUACAGCAACUCUUCCCUCUUCUAAUUUCUUCUGUCUUGCUAUAAGUGCUUUAUUUCAUAAUAGACUCCAUGUAAGACCUUCCUAAUUUGGCUUACUCCCUUCUGGUGCAUCCUUCCCACCACUGCCAAGGUAACCUUCCUAACACAUAAGAUCUUACUUGUUUUCUUCCUCAAAAACCUCAAAACACUCUCAGUUACCCAAAACCUACAUGGCUUUUCCCAAGGCCACUAAUCUCAUCUCAAGCCAACUCUCGGCCUCAUUUCCAGCUAAUUAGAGCCACAAGUCCCACACUCUGGCCACAUGGGUCAUUCACCAGUUCCCAACAUCUUAUACACUUUCAUCGCUUGUCUUUAGGGAACUGCCUAGACAGUUCCCUAAAAUUUUAAAAAUUCUAUAUGAAGGUCAGAUUUAUAUAGAAUCAAGUUUAACAGAACGAGGUAAAUGGGAGGUACCGGAAACUUCUUCAGCUAUCAGCAGUCAUGCAUUUCUUUAGCAAUAAGAGUACAAAAGAAGUAAAGCUAGAAGCAGAACCACUCAACAUCAUCCCAAUGAUGUAUACCUCGUAGGUAUCAAACUCCUGGACAGCAAAAAAGUGACUGCACAUUUUGAUCCUGGAAGGGGAGCAAUUUUUGUCUCUUUUGUUUCCUCAUCUCCCAGGUGCCUAGAACAAUGCCUGCCACAUAGUAGAAACUAAAUAAAGACCUGUUGAAGGAGGGAAAAUAUCACGAGGCCUAUUCUAUAUGGAAGAAAUUGAAGUGGAUGCAUUCAAUGGGUGCCCACUCUGCACCUGGCAGUGCAUGAACACUGGGGACAGCAAUAGGCAUAAGGAAGCCAUGCCCUGCUCCUGAGGAGCUUACAGUCCAGAGAAUAAGUGGAGUGGGAAAUACUUGAUGCUAGGCCUUGGUUCCCUCAACCGUCAAGGGAGAAAUUAGACAAAACCCUCUACAGUCUCUGGUCCCUUCUUGUCUUAAACAUGCUGUUUACUUUCCCAGAUGAAAGUUCCUAGAGGCCCCAGGCUGUGCUCUCCCAUCUUUGGAUUCCCUAUGGUACCUGGUGCGGUACCUUGCAACUAAUUGUUGCUUAUUACCUUAUUUUUUUUAACUGAACUGAUUGGGAUACAAUUGUCUAAUUUUUAAAACAGAAAUAAAAUUAGAGGGCGAUAAAGAAGAAAACUUCUCUGGCCAUUAUCGUAAGAAAAGAGUGUCCUCAAUAAAUAGAUCCUAGACUAUGAUGGGAGGCAGCACAGAGGAGAAGACACAGAAAACCUUCCACUUUCAGACAAGGACUCCCCACUUUGGGCAAAUUGCUUAGCCACCUUAAGCCUCGACUUCCUCAAAUACAAUAAGAAUAAUCAUACCUACCUCACAGGGUUGAGAGAACCUCAUCAGAUAACGAAUGUGAAAUUGCUUUCUAAGUACGAAGAAGAUUCACUAACAUUAGUUAAUAUCGUUACCACUGAUUCCCAUGCGUGGCUGCAGAUCCACCCCGCACCUCCACUGCCUUCUUCCCUGACCCUAGUCAACUGGGUAGAGGAUGGAAGGAUAUUUAACUCUUAACUUCCCUACAUUUAAACUAUUGACUGUCUCACAUCUAGAAUUUAAAAUGUAGCUAAAAUCAGGUUUCCCAUUUUUGGAAAUAUUUGUUGAUUAACUAAUUUGGGAAAAGAAUAUAAGAAAGUCAAGAAAGUAGGUAAAAAUUAUGCAUACAUUUGGUUCAUUCCAUUUAGAAAGAAAUAGGACAUACCAAAAAACAUAAGGAAAUUAUUCAAAGAAGGAAAAUAAAAGUUCACGAAGAUAUUCACUGCAAUCUUAUUUACAUCAGUGGAAAACAAUGACUUUCUUAUCCAGCACUGGAGGAGCAUCAAAGGCCCCUACUGUCCUCGAACCUCAGGGUGACUGCCUUUGGGGAAGAAGAAAUUAUGGAAUGGAGGUUCUUGAGCUCACCUUCAGUAUUCUGGAUUCAGUAGGUUUGGUUCAACAACUAGACAUUUGUAUUCAGCACCAAUGGCCUAAGCAAUGGCUGUGGUACAAUCAUUUAAUGGACAUUUUAAAAAAGAUAAUGUCGUGACAUGGAAAAACACAAUUAUAAUUGCUUCGGUGAUUUGAAAAUCUUUAAAAAUAGUAUAAUUAUAAUUUCCUAGAUGACUUUAAUGUCUGUAUUCAUUCAGACCAAGCAAUAUGUGGAUUUGGGAUUUUAUGAACACUUCAGAAAAAAACCCAGCCAACAGUAGUGGUUUCUGCCCUUCCCAUCAAGGCUUCUAAUUAGUGUAACUGAGUAAAUACUUCCUGGAUCUUAGGGGAAUAGCUUAGAUUUGUCAAUAGACAAUAGGACAAGACACAGUACAGCAGCAUAACCAUUAACCUCUGUCACAAAAAAAAACAAAACAACAACUAUAGCAACUACUACCACAAAUUUAGAACCCAGAAAUGUUCACACUGUGACAAUUCAGUGUGCAGACAUUAUAAUCACACAUAUAUAACACCAUUGUGGCUUUUCCAGAACCAUCCGAAAGCUUAAAGAACUUUGACCUUUAUCCACCGCUGGUGUUGCUAAAUUAAAAGGUUUAGGUAUCUUUUAAUCCCUUAGCACCUUCAGCUGAAAUGCAUUCUCUGGUACUAUGGAUAAGAAGAAAUGAACCAAGAAGCUGGCUCAUUUAUAAAAUAGUGAUUUUUAAUAGUCUUCUGUUUGGAGCCCAAUCUUAACAGUUAAUCUUGGGUAAUAAAGCAUUUAAUAGAUAAGUACUUCUUCCCCGUGCCUCUUCAUUUCCCGGGGAGGGCAAUCUAUGUAAAGCUCACAUUUCCCAUUGAAAUGGGACGUGUUGGAUGCUAGAAUUGUUCCUAGGUUAAGUCAAACCAAUUGUUACUUAAGAGAAUCAGGCCAAAGUGGAUCUUCCUCUCUAUUCUCUAAUACCUACCUCUAAGUCCUCCUUUGUCAAGAGCAAACAUAGCCACGGAAUGCCUUAGAUAUAGUGGAGCACAGAAAUUGCUUUCUUCUCAGAACUGACAAAAAGGAAGAAUUUACUCACUAACUCAAUUACUUGUGAUAACUAGAAACAUAAUGCAAAGUCCCAGCCAUGGUCUGGUCCUCACAAUAGGAGCUAAGGAUAAAGUCCCACCAAAGAUACUAUUUACAACAAGGUAGGAUGUAGGAAUUUGGAUGGCGUUAAAAAUAUAUUCCUUCAUCCCAUACCAGCAACAAAG